UAACUACUGGAAACGGUAGCUAAUACCGCAUAACGUCGCAAGACCAAAGAGGGGGACCUUCGGGCCUCUUGCCAUCGGAUGUGCCCAGAUGGGAUUAGCUAGUAGGUGGGGUAACGGCUCACCUAGGCGACGAUCCCUAGCUGGUCUGAGAGGAUGACCAGCCACACUGGAACUGAGACACGGUCCAGACUCCUACGGGAGGCAGCAGUGGGGAAUAUUGCACAAUGGGCGCAAGCCUGAUGCAGCCAUGCCGCGUGUAUGAAGAAGGCCUUCGGGUUGUAAAGUACUUUCAGCGGGGAGGAAGGGAGUAAAGUUAAUACCUUUGCUCAUUGACGUUACCCGCAGAAGAAGCACCGGCUAACUCCGUGCCAGCAGCCGCGGUAAUACGGAGGGUGCAAGCGUUAAUCGGAAUUACUGGGCGUAAAGCGCACGCAGGCGGUUUGUUAAGUCAGAUGUGAAAUCCCCGGGCUCAACCUGGGAACUGCAUCUGAUACUGGCAAGCUUGAGUC
This 509-nucleotide ribosomal RNA is filed under the name Escherichia coli. RNAcentral's name for it is "bacterial SSU rRNA". It matches the Rfam family "Bacterial small subunit ribosomal RNA", at positions 144 to 648 of the family's 1533-position model. Lineage: Bacteria; Pseudomonadati; Pseudomonadota; Gammaproteobacteria; Enterobacterales; Enterobacteriaceae. The record is from RNAcentral.